GACGGGAGGAUGCAAGUGUUAUCCGGAAUCACUGGGCGUAAAGCGUCUGUAGGUGGCUCGACAAGUCAACUGUUAAAUCUUGAAGCUCAACUUCAAAAUCGCAGUCGAAACUAUCGGACUAGAGUAGUAGUAGAGGUAAAGGGAAUUUCCAGUGGAGCGGUGAAAUGCGUAGAGAUUGGAAAGAACACCGAUGGCGAAGGCACUUUACUGGGCUAUUACUGACACUCAGAGACGAAAGCUA
This 241-nucleotide ribosomal RNA is filed under the name uncultured bacterium. RNAcentral's name for it is "partial 16S ribosomal RNA". It matches the Rfam family "Bacterial small subunit ribosomal RNA", at positions 524 to 762 of the family's 1533-position model. The record is from RNAcentral.